AAGAAGGUGACAGAGUGGUUAUGUGGUCGGCUUGAAACUGAUAUACGGGGGUUCAAUUCCUUCCCUUCUCG
This 71-nucleotide transfer RNA is filed under the name Sundadanio axelrodi 'blue'. RNAcentral's name for it is "tRNA-Ser". It matches the Rfam family "tRNA". Rfam says of the family: Transfer RNA (tRNA) molecules are approximately 80 nucleotides in length. Their secondary structure includes four short double-helical elements and three loops (D, anti-codon, and T loops). Further hydrogen bonds mediate the characteristic L-shaped molecular structure. tRNAs have two regions of fundamental functional importance: the anti-codon, which is responsible for specific mRNA codon recognition, and the 3' end, to which the tRNAs corresponding amino acid is attached (by aminoacyl-tRNA synthetases). tRNAs cope with the degeneracy of the genetic code in two manners: having more than one tRNA (with a specific anti-codon) for a particular amino acid; and 'wobble' base-pairing, i.e. permitting non-standard base-pairing at the 3rd anti-codon position. The record is from RNAcentral. Lineage: Eukaryota; Metazoa; Chordata; Actinopteri; Cypriniformes; Sundadanionidae.